UUUCUCUGAUCUCUCUUCAGAAUGUCGAAUAAAUCUAUCGCCUUUUACUAAAGAUUUCCGUGGAGAGGGAUACUCUAAUGAGUCUAUAAUAAAUGUUUGUGCUGCUCGUUUCCUUCCAGAGU
This 122-nucleotide small nuclear RNA is filed under the name Anopheles sinensis. RNAcentral's name for it is "U5 spliceosomal RNA". It matches the Rfam family "U5 spliceosomal RNA". From Rfam's summary of the family: U5 RNA is a component of both types of known spliceosome. The precise function of this molecule is unknown, though it is known that the 5' loop is required for splice site selection and p220 binding, and that both the 3' stem-loop and the Sm site are important for Sm protein binding and cap methylation. The record is from Rfam by way of RNAcentral. Lineage: Eukaryota; Metazoa; Arthropoda; Insecta; Diptera; Culicidae.